RNAcentral lists this ribosomal RNA (253 nucleotides) under uncultured bacterium. Its description in RNAcentral is "partial 16S ribosomal RNA". It matches the Rfam family "Bacterial small subunit ribosomal RNA", at positions 524 to 776 of the family's 1533-position model. The record is from RNAcentral.
GACAGAGGUGCCGAGCGUUAGGCGGAAUCACUGGGCUUAAAGCGUGUGUAGGUGGAUGCCUAAGUACCUUGUGAAAUCCCACGGCUUAACCGUGGAACUGCUCGGUAUACUGGGUGUCUUGAGCCAGCUAGGGGCUACCGGAACAAAUGGUGGAGCGGUGAAAUGCGUAGAUAUCAUUUGGAACGCCAAUGGUGAAAACAGCUCGCUGGGGGUGUGCUGACACUGAGACAGGAAAGCCAGGGGAGCAAACGGG